This 73-nucleotide transfer RNA is filed under the name Bos taurus (domestic cattle). It matches the Rfam family "tRNA". Rfam says of the family: Transfer RNA (tRNA) molecules are approximately 80 nucleotides in length. The record is from Rfam by way of RNAcentral. RNAcentral also lists the same sequence under 5 other names. Lineage: Eukaryota; Metazoa; Chordata; Mammalia; Artiodactyla; Bovidae.
UCCCUGGUGGCUCAGUGGGUAAAGAAUCUGCCUGCCAGUGCAGGAGACACAGGUUUGAUCCCUGAUCUGGGAA